RNAcentral lists this small nucleolar RNA (74 nucleotides) under Eubacterium nodatum ATCC 33099. RNAcentral describes it as "small nucleolar RNA SNORD93". The record is from RNAcentral. Lineage: Bacteria; Bacillati; Bacillota; Clostridia; Peptostreptococcales; Anaerovoracaceae.
ACGCUAAAGAAUACAACUUUUAGCAGAAAAUAUGAGGUUAAGAUUAGAAGUAUUAAUGGCAAGAAAUCAGGCAA